Austrofundulus limnaeus is the source of this 601-nucleotide long non-coding RNA. RefSeq lists it as uncharacterized. NCBI's taxonomy places the organism in Eukaryota, Metazoa, Chordata, Actinopteri, Cyprinodontiformes, Rivulidae. The record is from RefSeq and is a predicted model, not a curated record. The transcript has 3 exons.
GAUAGAGAGGAGAGGCGGCGGAGAUAACUGCCGAGAAAGUGGAAGAGAGUUUGCCAAGAGGAGGAGAGAGAGCGUAGGGAGAAGUGACAGAGCAAUGUAGUGACAGAAGAAGCAAAAAGUGGUGAGACAAAGACACGAGGGUGAAGGAACAAAAAAAAAAAAAAAGGAUCUACAGGAGGCAGAGAAGAAGACGAAGAACCUGGUCAGAGAGAGAGAGAACAGCGAGACAGAAUGAGACCCAGGAGCAUGCUACGCCUUCGCACUGCUGCUGUUGCUCAGUAAAGAUCCUGUACCUGCAAGAGCUAAGAAAACAUGUUCUGACACAUGUUCAGAACAUUUGGCUUCCAGCUGUUCACGAUGAGCCAGUUACUGCGACGUCUACAAGUAAAACCCGAACAGGAACAAGCAUUUCUCAUGUCUGUUACAACACAACACACAGCUGCACGUGUCAGACUCUUCGGGAGGAGGCGCUGGGGAGUGGAGAGGGUGGUCUUUGUUUACCUGCUGGAUUUGUUGCAGCUGCAACCUGACCAGGAAUAAUAGAUAAAUGUACAAAUGGAUGUACAGGUGCUGGUCAUAAAAUUAGAAUAUCAUGAAAAAG